RNAcentral lists this long non-coding RNA (646 nucleotides) under Helianthus tuberosus. RNAcentral's name for it is "tasiARF". The record is from RNAcentral. Lineage: Eukaryota; Viridiplantae; Streptophyta; Magnoliopsida; Asterales; Asteraceae.
AAAAUGGUUGCACCCAUCUUGCAUCAAUGCACACAUGAAUGUUCUAACUUGAUUCAACCUUAAAGACCCUCCUCUCAAAGGCUCCAAACCAGUACACUCUUUGUGUUCUAGCCAUGGCUAAUCACCCAAUCUUGUUUUUGAUACUCCUAUACAAUCUGGUUCAAUAUGAUGGCCGAAUGGAGCAACACUUGUCAAUCUUUUGAUAACAAUUUGGCGCUAUCCCUCCUGAGCUUAUACUUCUUAUGUUGUUUAUUCCUAGAGUCCAACUUCAUAAAGGUUGUUCGAGUUUUCUUGACCUUGCAAGCCCGUUGAAUACUUUGGUACAUUUCAAGAUUAUCUGUUUAAACAACUUUGCCGUGAAGUGAUGCAAGUUCUACACAUAUUUCUAUCCCUCUUGAGCUAGUAUAGUCUAUGUAUAAUGUGUAUAUAACCUUUGUAAACGUAUUUCUCCUUUUGAAGUGGCAUAACUUUUUUCUUUCUUCUAGUUAUGUAUGUAAACUAGAGGGUCAAACUCAGACGCUGCAUCGGGGAUGUUAAAAUUUGUAAUGCUCGAUUUUGACGACUACAAAAAAAAAGUUAGUUUAUUAUGGUUUUAUUGCACAAAAGAUGUAUGGUUUAACCCAAAAAAGUCGUGUUUAUAUCAAUC